RNAcentral lists this small RNA (364 nucleotides) under Lapidilactobacillus gannanensis. RNAcentral's name for it is "transfer-messenger RNA". It matches the Rfam family "transfer-messenger RNA". Rfam says of the family: Bacterial tmRNA, also known as 10Sa RNA or SsrA, is named for its dual tRNA and mRNA-like properties. The record is from RNAcentral. Lineage: Bacteria; Bacillati; Bacillota; Bacilli; Lactobacillales; Lactobacillaceae.
GGGGGUGUUCUGGAUUCGACAUGUGUAUCUGUGCGCGAAUUGCAUUCCGUAGGUUACGUCUACGUUAAAACGUUACAGUUUAUAUAACUGCAAACAAACAAAAUUCUUACGCAGUAGCUGCCUAAAAACCAGCUAGCGUGAUCCUGCUGAAUUUGCCUAAGGUUCAGAUUUUGGGUCUCAAAUUAAUUAGGCUACACUUAGUUACGCGGUCCGAAUAAUUAAGAGGAGCUUAGCAGACUCGUUGUUAAUGGUUAGCCCGGUGGUGCGGCGCGCAUUAAUGACUAAAUUUUAAAUAGUACUACUAUGAAUGUAGACGUUGGCGUGGCAGUACGCAUGGACAGGGGUUCAAUUCCCCUCACCUCCA